This 407-nucleotide ribosomal RNA is filed under the name uncultured Acidobacteriota bacterium. RNAcentral's name for it is "bacterial SSU rRNA". It matches the Rfam family "Bacterial small subunit ribosomal RNA", at positions 958 to 1359 of the family's 1533-position model. Lineage: Bacteria; Pseudomonadati; Acidobacteriota. The record is from RNAcentral.
AACGCGAAGAACCUUACCUGGGCUCGAAAUGUAGUGGAAUCCGGCAGAAANGUCGGCGUCUAGCAAUAGACCGCUAUAUAGGUGCUGCAUGGCUGUCGUCAGCUCGUGUCGUGAGAUGUUGGGUUAAGUCCCGCAACGAGCGCAACCCUUAUCUUCAGUUGCUACCAUUUAGUUGAGCACUCUGACGAAACCGCCUCGGAUAACGGGGAGGAAGGUGGGGAUGACGUCAAGUCCUCAUGGCCUUUAUGUCCAGGGCUACACACGUGCUACAAUGGCCGGUACAAACCGCUGCAUAACCCGGCGAGGGGGAGCUAUAUCGGAAAAAGCCAGGCCUCAGUUCGGAUUGGAGUCUGCAACUCGACUCCAUGAAGCUGGAAUUCGNUAGUAAUUCGUGGAUCAGCAUGCCA